This 233-nucleotide long non-coding RNA is filed under the name Gossypium barbadense (sea-island cotton). RNAcentral's name for it is "long non-coding RNA (GBAR_LNC011236)". The record is from RNAcentral. Lineage: Eukaryota; Viridiplantae; Streptophyta; Magnoliopsida; Malvales; Malvaceae.
AAUAAGUUAAAUUUGCUAUUAUAGAUCAAGAAGAAUGAAAUUCGGGAGUAGAUCGGGGAAAAGAAAAAGUAAAUGACUAAAUUGUAAAGUUUAGUCACAUUUUGUAUAAAGGUAAGUUACAGUAAAUAAAUGCAAUAUUAUUUUAUUUUACAUUAAUAUUUUCAAUUUCCAGCAUUUAUAUAUUUAUGUUAUGAAAAUAUUUAAAGUCGAAUUUAAGGUGAAGUGACAGAGGA